UACGUAGGGCGCAAGCGUUGUCCGGAAUUAUUGGGCGUAAAGAGCUCGUAGGCGGCUUGUCACGUCGGGUGUGAAAGCCCGGGGCUUAACCCCGGGUCUGCAUUCGAUACGGGCAGGCUAGAGUGUGGUAGGGGAGAUCGGAAUUCCUGGUGUAGCGGUGAAAUGCGCAGAUAUCAGGAGGAACACCGGUGGCGAAGGCGGAUCUCUGGGCCUGACCUGACGCUGAGGAGCGAAAGCGUGGGGAGCGAACAGG
This 253-nucleotide ribosomal RNA is filed under the name uncultured bacterium. Its description in RNAcentral is "partial 16S ribosomal RNA". It matches the Rfam family "Bacterial small subunit ribosomal RNA", at positions 524 to 776 of the family's 1533-position model. The record is from RNAcentral.